GACGAACGCUGGCGGCGCGCUUAACCCAUGCUAGUCGACCGGAAAGGCUCUGCUCUUGUGGGGUGCUCGCGUGGCGACCGGGUGCGUCACACGUGCGUAUCCUGCCCUUGAUUUUGGGCUAUCUUCAGGCAACUGGGGCUCUUAACCGAUAGGAGCACCUGCUUCCCGGUGGGGGUUGGACCGUUUCUUGGGUUGGGGUCGGAUUCGCGACUUCUCCGCUUGUUGGUGGGGUCGUGCCUUAACAACGCCUUGACGGGUAGCCGGCCUGCGAGGGUGACCGGCCACAUCGGUACUGAAAUACGGCCCGAACUCCUACUGGAGGCAGCAGUGAGGAAUAUUGCACAAUGGGCCGAGGCCUGAUGCAGCAACGCCGCGUGCGGGAUGACGGCCUUCGGGUUGUAGACCGCUUUCGCCUGUGACGAAGCGUGAGUGGCGUUAAUGGGUAGAGAAGCACCGGCUAACUACGUG
This 468-nucleotide ribosomal RNA is filed under the name uncultured bacterium. Its description in RNAcentral is "partial 16S ribosomal RNA". It matches the Rfam family "Bacterial small subunit ribosomal RNA", at positions 28 to 507 of the family's 1533-position model. The record is from RNAcentral.